This 148-nucleotide signal recognition particle RNA is filed under the name Gorilla gorilla gorilla (western lowland gorilla). RNAcentral's name for it is "Metazoan signal recognition particle RNA". It matches the Rfam family "Metazoan signal recognition particle RNA". Rfam says of the family: The signal recognition particle (SRP) is a universally conserved ribonucleoprotein. It is involved in the co-translational targeting of proteins to membranes. The eukaryotic SRP consists of a 300-nucleotide 7S RNA and six proteins: SRPs 72, 68, 54, 19, 14, and 9. Lineage: Eukaryota; Metazoa; Chordata; Mammalia; Primates; Hominidae. The record is from Rfam by way of RNAcentral.
GCUGGGCAUGGUGGCGCAUGCCUGUAAUCCCAGCUACUUGGGAGGCUGAGGCAGGAGAAUUGCUUGAGGCAGGGAGGUUGAGGUUGCAGUGAGCUGAGACCAUGCCACUGCACUCCAGCCUGGCCGACAAAGUGAGGCUCUGUCUCAA